CCUACGGGAGGCAGCAGUGAGGAAUAUUGGUCAAUGGACGAGAGUCUGAACCAGCCAAGUAGCGUGAAGGAUGACUGCCCUAUGGGUUGUAAACUCCUUUUACAUGGGAAUAAAACAGGGUAUGCAUACCCUCUUGUAUGUACCAUAUGAAUAAGGACAGGCUAACUCCGUGCCAGCAGCCGCGGUAAUACGGAGGAUCCGAGCGUUAUCCGGAUUUAUUGGGUGUAAAGGGAGCGUAGGUGGAUUGUUAAGUCAGUUGUGAAAGUUUGCGGCUCAACCGUAAAAUUGCAGUUGAAACUGGCAGUCUUGAGUACAGUAGAGGUGGGCGGAAUUCGUGGUGUAGCGGUGAAAUGCUUAGAUAUCACGAAGAACUCCGAUUGCGAAGGCAGCUCACUGGACUGCAACUGACACUGAUGCUCGAAAGUGUGGGUAGCAAACAGGAUUAGAUACCCAGGUAGUC
RNAcentral lists this ribosomal RNA (460 nucleotides) under uncultured bacterium. Its description in RNAcentral is "partial 16S ribosomal RNA". It matches the Rfam family "Bacterial small subunit ribosomal RNA", at positions 338 to 795 of the family's 1533-position model. The record is from RNAcentral.